This 275-nucleotide unclassified non-coding RNA is filed under the name Glomeraceae sp. RNAcentral describes it as "partial contains 5.8S ribosomal RNA and internal transcribed spacer 2". The stretch from base 1 to 71 matches the Rfam family "5.8S ribosomal RNA", at positions 84 to 154 of the family's 154-position model. Lineage: Eukaryota; Fungi; Glomeromycota; Glomeromycetes; Glomerales; Glomeraceae. The record is from RNAcentral.
GUGAAUCAUCGAAUUUUUGAACGCAAAUUGCGCUUCCUGGCAUCCCGGGGAGUAUGCCUGUUUGAGGGUCAGUAUUAAUAAAAAGUCGGGUUAGGUACAAAUUGUGACGUUUCCGGAGUUUGGGCUAUCUUAACAUUUUUGGGUAAGAGGCUUAACAUGUACCUUGUUUAGGAAUUUUUAAACUUACAUACAGUUUUUUUUUCGUCUAUUCUGAAUGCCAAAAUCUUAUUAGAUGCAAUCAGAUCGUGUGGCUUCGGGUCCAUAAAAUUUUCAUG